CAGGACAGCCCUGCUCCAGGAUAGCCCUGCUCCAGGAAAGUUUUGCUCCAGUCUACCUGAGCCAGCACAGGAUUCUCUCACCUGCUGGGUGCAGGUCUGGCCUGACUCUUUGGAUCCAUCAGGAAGAGAAGCCAAAAGCCCCACAAUCAAAAUUCAGCUUUUAUGGAGCAAGGAGAUUAUCCCCGAGAGAAAAACCCCUGCUGGUGCUACAGGUGCAAACGCCAUCUCCAAAUGAUGAACCACGGAGAGGAGAGCGAGCACAGGGAACUGCUGAGCUUUGACAGCAGAUGUGACCCCUGAGCCCACAACAAUGAGCUGCCAGCCUGUCCUCUGUCGCUGGGGUGUGACUGGGACCGUUCAGCAGCCCCGGGGUUCCCAGGGACCCAUCCCACCCCUGUGAGGGAGGAGAAGCACUGGGGCUCCUGUGCAAAUCCACAUUUCACGGCAGAGCCCUGGAACCAGGAGCCUUCAGCACUCACAUCAAUCAUCAGUGGUUAUGAGCUGGCUGGAUCGCUUUCAAUAUAUGGAUGUACGAAUUUACUGAUUUUGGAAGGGAUGCCGAACUGCCCUGCUCACUGCGAGGGGCUGGCCCUCCCUCCGAUGCUUUCCAUGCGCUGGGCAGGUGAGGAGACUUUCCCUGAGUUACAGAAGGAAAAGGCUCCCCUCUCGUGGCUGCGAGGGAAAACGGCACUUUCUGCACAAAACUGCCUUCUGCACUUCCCGGGCUGCGGGGAAACACAAAUCUAUCCAGAACACCUGAAAAUGGGAUGGGAAUGGAACGGACUCAGAGCCAGAGCAGGAGCAGAGGAGCUCCCAGCCCUGGUAUAAUGGAGAGUUCAUCCAUCUGUGAGGUAAGAGAAGAGCAAAAGAACAACUACAGAGACUUUUCAGAAGUUGCUGCUCCAUUGUGUCUGAAAUCACUUGCCAGUAACAGCUGAGAAUUCUUUGUUAGGAGAAAUAAAUCUGGUCCCACUGAUCCUGUAGUGAUCUCAGGUACUACAGAACCAGCUGGAUUUGGGGAUUCAAGCAGAUGCAAAAAGCCGAGGUUGGCC
This is a non-coding RNA of Zonotrichia albicollis (white-throated sparrow), 1052 nucleotides long. The record is from RefSeq and is a predicted model, not a curated record. NCBI's taxonomy places the organism in Eukaryota, Metazoa, Chordata, Aves, Passeriformes, Passerellidae.